Molecule: long non-coding RNA, 98 nt
Organism: Sander lucioperca (pikeperch)
Lineage: Eukaryota; Metazoa; Chordata; Actinopteri; Perciformes; Percidae
Exons: 3
Source: RefSeq, a predicted model, not a curated record
GGAAUUGUAAAAAAUUAUUUGGGGGUUUUCCUAAAGCAUUUAUCUGUCAACCUAUUCCAUCCCUUUCUUCUAAUCUUAACCCUUUUCUUUUGACUACU